Molecule: ribosomal RNA, 201 nt
Filed under: uncultured bacterium
Lineage: Bacteria
Description: partial 16S ribosomal RNA
Rfam family: Bacterial small subunit ribosomal RNA
Source: RNAcentral
UACGUAGGCAGCAAGCGUUGUUCGGAAUCACUGGGCGUAAAGGGCGUGUAGGCGGGUAGAUAAGUCGGGCGUGAAAUCCCUAGGCUCAACCUAGGAACUGCACUCGAAACUGUUUUAUCUUGAGUGCCGGAGAGGAAAGCGGAAUUCCUGGUGUAGAGGUGAAAUUCGUAGAUAUUGGGGAGGAACACCAGUGGCGAAGGC